This 492-nucleotide ribosomal RNA is filed under the name Cleidion brevipetiolatum. Its description in RNAcentral is "eukaryotic LSU rRNA". The stretch from base 5 to 160 matches the Rfam family "5.8S ribosomal RNA". Lineage: Eukaryota; Viridiplantae; Streptophyta; Magnoliopsida; Malpighiales; Euphorbiaceae. The record is from RNAcentral.
AAACGACUCUCGGCAACGGAUAUCUCGGCUCUCGCAUCGAUGAAGAACGCAGCAAAAUGCGAUACUUGGUGUGAAUUGCAGAAUCCCGUGAAUCAUCGAGUUUUUGAACGCAAGUUGCGCCCGAAGCCUUCCGGCCGAGGGCACGUCUGCCUGGGUGUCACGCAACCGUCGCCCCCUCCCCCUCGCCCUGCCGGGGGCUUGGAGGCGGAUGCUGGCCUCCCGUGGGAACUCCGCCCGCGGCUGGCCGAAAAGAAGGGUCCUCGGCGGCGAUCGCCACGACAAUCGGUGGUUGAAAGACCCUCUGAAGCAGUCGUGGGCGAUCGCCCGCCAAAGGGAUCCCCCGAGACCCCGAUGCGUCGGCCUCAUGGCCACGCUCCGACCGCGACCCCAGGUCAGGCGGGACUACCCGCUGAGUUUAAGCAUAUCAAUAAGCGGAGGAAAAGAAACUUACCAGGAUUCCCCUAGUAACGGCGAGCGAACCGGGAAUAGCCC